CUCUGCCUGCCAGCCUGCCCUGUGGAUUUUGGACUUGCCAGCCCUUACCAUUGUGGGAACCUAAUCCUUAAACAACUCAAUCUCCACUACCCUCCUCGCCCUUCUCUCUCUCUCUCUCUCACACACACACACACACACCCACACACACACACCCACCCACACACACCCACACACACACACACACACACACACACACACAUCCAAUUGAUUCUGUUUCUUUGGAGAACUCUGACUAACACAGUCUCCUUCUCAGUAUUAAUGUUUUUUUCUUGGACAGAAAAUAUAGAUAAAAUAGAAGUCUAGAAGUUCUGUUUUCUCUCACGACCAAAUUCUUCUAUUUCUCUUUUAACCCAUUCAGAUUUGUGAGUCCCGGAGCGUGCUUUGCCAGGGCUCUGUUGAGUUCCACAGUGCAUUGAGCACCACUAUGUGGGAGGCACUGGCUCUCAACAGGCAGCAGGCACCUUUUCCCUAAUGAACUGUCUUUCCAGGUUUCACUCAAGCCCUUUCUAUCAGACUUCUACCAUGCAGCUCUGCCAAUUUCUUUAAGCAUCUCUCCCUUCUUCCUGACUGUCCUGACCAGGAAACUCCCUAAUCUCUAAUAUCUAAAGUCAUGAAGCCAAUUGCAUCAUUAGAUGCGCAGUAUAUAUAAAUAACAUUUACUUACAAGAAUAUUUUUAUAGAAAUGUAUGUAAACAUACUUACAUACAUUUCUAUAAAUACAUUUAAAUUCCUAAAGACUUGUUUGAGCAAUUUAAAAAAAAAAUGCUCCAGUUUAACUUCCUACUACAAUUAGGAAUUUGGGGCAGGGUGCAUAAUUGCCAGUGUACUCACAGUGACUGCAAUUAGAAUGUGCUGUGGAGUCAGAGGAACUGCCUGACAGUGCCGGGCAGUUGACCCUGGGCUGGGUUCAGAGCUCUCCAGUGGCCACUGAGAAGUAGGAGAGUGUUUCCUGCACAAUCCUGAUUUCUUGGGGGAGGAGGUACUACUGCACGCUGCUGGGAGGAGCCUCUGAAACUCUCCUGGGCCAGGUCUCCUCCCGUGCUUCCUCUCCCUGAGGCAGCCUCACCUCUUGACGCCUGUCCCCAGCACACCCUUCUGUAGCUUUCCUCUGACUCACCCCUCUGUGUGUCUUUCUCUCCAACUCGGGGUCCUGUCACCUAGGCCUCUCUCCUUUUUCCUAGGUGGCUGGCAGUUGCUCUUCCCUUGGUUUUCUCUAAUUUGAUCUCUUUCCCACCCUUCCAGUCUGCCACAGUCACCCUUGAUAUCCGCAGAAUCCACCCUCCUUGGAAGGGAUGAGGAAGGGGGUUUAUAUAACUCAAUUUCAUUUGUAAUGUUUCAAAUGGUAUUUUUUUUCUGGGAAUAAUUGGCGCUGGAUUCUGAACUAUCUUUCCUGUUGCAAAGAAUGAAAUCCCUUCUAGGUGAUGGGGCUUGAUCUUUCUCUGUUGCAAUAGCAGCGAUGUCCAAAACAAUCAAUCAGAGGCAUUUUCUACCGUACCUGAGCCAUUCAGUGGUUUCGACCUCUGCUCCAGAUUACCCAGGGUUAUCCAGAUGGGUUAAUGCGAGUCCUUAGAAUGGUGUUUCCCACCUUGAGAGUGGGUUGUUGGCUAGGUGUGUGGGGGAGCUGUUUGUCUACACCUCAGAAACGCUCACAACAGCAGGUUCCAGGGAAAGUCCCUGGGUGUCCAGUAAAAGCUGGGUCGCCCUCCCUAGGGGGCUCUGAGACUAGCAGAACUGAUGGCCCCAUAAUUUGAGCACAGGUAUGCAUAUUUCUUAGGGGUUGGUGGGCAGACUCAUUCAUGUUCCCAUCCCAGGGGUGCAGGGGACCCUUCUCCCUUCCCCACAUCAGCCCAGGGCCACAGAAGCUCCUCAGGAGGCAAGGAAGGGAAUGGAGAGGACAAGAGUGCCUACAGAGUGGGAAGGAGACAAGCAUUCUCAGGUAUUUAUCCAGGGUAAGGGCAAGGGCUUUUCUGCAGUCCAGGACAUUAGAAGAGUCCUGAACCAAGAACUCCACCCCUGCCCCGAUAUCAGCUGUUUUUAUUGACUGAGCUGUUGGAGAACAGUUUUGGUGUGCGGAAACAGUGAGAUCCCUAACCCUACACCCCUGAACCCAGCAGAUAUAUCCACACUGACCAGAAAGGACUGGCUAACCACAAGCCUGCCUGUGCAUGGCAGGGAAAGGAAAGCCAUUCUUGAGUAAAUGGUGUUCAAAGGUUGGGCAAUAUAUGUAUAUGGUGUUCUCCUGUGGACAUAAUUGUGCACAAGGGUCAGAAGAAAUUGCUUUCAUUGGGCAAGCUACUUAACCUGUCUAAAGCUUUGUUUUUUUAUGAUCUGUAAAUGAAGACAGAUCCUAUCUCAUGGCUCUGCACGUCACACAGCGAUAGCAGACAGGUAAUUAGGAUGCAGGUAGUUAGCAGACAGCCUGGGUGUACUUUAGCUGUUCAAGUUUCCUCAACCUGGCCUCCUAGCCAUGACCUUUCACAGAGGUGCAAAUCAUCUAUGAGUUUGCACAGAAUCCCCUGCAAGGAAAUAUGUUCUUGUUCUUGACUUACAUUUGAGUUGGUUGGUCUUACAGUUAAGGCGGAGGUCAUCACUCUUAAUAAAGGCCAUUUUAAGUGGAGUGACAAGUCACUAAGGGACUUGUUGGCAUUGUUUACUUCUUAUCCAGGGCUUUCCAAGAAGGGACAGUGUGUCUGAGUUUUUAUCUUAUGAAGGUUUCCCACCUGCAGUUUAGUUUACUAUUAUUCUAAGGGCUGUUUAUAAAUGAACUAGCUUGUCUUUGCACUCAGGGUAAUUCACAGAUUUGUCAGUGACUUCAUUGCAGCUGUGAGCUUUACACGAACCUUGCAAUCCGCCUUGAAAAAUGAAACUGAGUAUAAGUGGGGACCAAGGAAGAAUGUUUUUGAGGGAAAUAGAAAUUACCAUCCUAAAAAUGGUUCCUUCUGUGUGUCUGCUGAUAGAAACCCUUGACCUCUUUAGAAACAACCGCAAAAUUAUUCACUACAAUUAUCUGAAUCUCAUAAAUAAAAUAAUGAUUACAGCUGCAUGGAAUUAUUCAGGUCUAAAUUCAUAUAAACAUAUCCCUAACAAAUUUAUUUAUCAUGACAGGAAAGGAAAGCAUAGCUUUGUGCACCCCAUCCCACACCCUCCACCCCCUACAAAUUUUACUAACACUGUUUCUGGGUUCAGAAUUUUUUUGCCUGAGUUGGUACCUCAAAUCACUUGAGUUAAACUGCAAAUGAAUCACACAUAAUGCAGAUAAAAUGACUUCAUGCCCUAAUUUCUAGAACGUGACCUGAAUGUGAACUAGACAUUCGUUUUCCUAAACCCCAUGAGACCCAGGUAUUCUUGACAUGUGUAGAGAGGAUUGAAGGGGCCCGAGGCUGUCUGUCCUCUCUCCGUGGGCCUGGCUCUCCUUGGACCAAAUCGAAUGCAUGGGAACACACCCCCCAGUUGUCUUUUUCCUUCGGUUUAUAUAAUUCCUGGCAUGUGCCUUUCAACACUCCGUUUAUGUUAGAAGUUUGGUAUUAGCCUCGGGGCUUUACUCUUGACACUGCUACUAAUUCUCUACUUUAUAUUCGUGAUUGCCCUUCUGAAAGGAGAAUCUUGUUUCAAAAUUGCACCUGGGCAUUUUAAAGUAAAUAGGAUGCAAAUCCUUAGUUGGCCUCUUGUGUACAUUAACUUCAGAGUGAAGAAUGAAUAUGUAAGACAGUGAUGGGGGAUGGGGAGUUGAGCAAGGAAAAUAAUUUGCAUAAUGGUGUUUGCUCCCUGGUGAAACUGAAACCCAGCCUGUGUGGAAGCACACAUUGUUCUUUCUUCCCGCACAUUUGAAUCUCUCAGUGGGGUCUCAUUUUCUGUGACAUGGCAAACCUCAAAAAAUGGGAGUAAAUCAUUUCUAAAGAGCUUAGCUAGGCAUGGUGGCUCACGCCUGUAAUCCCAGCACUUUGGAAGGUCGAAGUGGGAUGAUUGCUUGAGCCCAGAAGUUUGAGACCGGCCUGGGCAACAUAGUGAGACCUCAUCUCCACACACACACAUGCGCGUACACACACACGAGCGCGCAUGUGUGUGCACACACACACAAAUUAGCCAGGUGUGGUGGCAUGGUAAUUCCAGCUACUCUGGGGGCUGAGGUUGGGAGGAUGGUUUGAGCCAGGGAGGUCGAGGUUGCAGUGAGCUGUGAUGGCACUGCUGCCCUCCAGCCUGGGUGACACAGUGAGAUCUUAUCUCAAAAAAAAUAAAAAAAUCAAAAAUAAAGAGCUCCUGAUUUCCAUCCCCCACCGAGAAUCAUUUUCUGAGUCAGCUGGAGUGUUUCAGAGCCCAACACCCAAGGAGCAGUGCAGGGAUGGUGCCCAGUUACAGGGGACAACUCAGCUCUGAAUGUUACAAAGGGCACUUCAUGGACCACCACCUUUUCUCUGCUUGCUCUGUACCCCUAAAGUACUACAAGGCAUUUUUGGUUAAUAAUAAUUUGAAUACUAUGUGAUCUUGUAGAUUCUACUGCGUUUGGCUAGCUAAUGUCUCUAAGUAGCAAGAUGAUUUAUUUUUUCUGGACAAUACCAGGACUAUAUGCUGAUACAGGACUGGCUUGCUCUAAGGAUCAGAUUUUCCAGUGUAAAAUAUAUACUCCUUAUAGGGUUGUAAGAGCAGAAGCCCUUCAUAGCCUGUUUCUUUUUGCUCUCUCUUCAGCCAGCAGUUGGCCUGGAUCUUUGCUGGUAGACACAGGGAAUGUUCUCCUUGACGAGUGGUUCCCACCCUGGCAGCCUCAGAUCCCACCAUGUUGGCAGGGAUGCUGAAAUCCACCUGCCUAUCAGCCUUUGUAAAUAACAAAAAUCACAAGUGGCUCUAGCAUUUAUGUAUUCUAUGAUAUUGGGACUCGUGAUAUAAAUAAUACAAAUGCUUUUACAUGCAUAAUUCAAUUUAUACUAUGUUUUAUCUUUAAUUACUGGAUAAUAAAAACAUAACUACUCUCAGGAAGUGUGGGGGAUUGUGACUCAGGCUAAGGUGAGCCUCACAGCCUGGAGGCUGGCUUUAGUGCUGGCUGGGAGAGCUGCAAGGAGAUGGCAUAUGCUGCCGAUGAAGGUGUUCUCCAGGAAUUUUCAGUUAGAAGUUUUGAUCAUUGUUCAUUUGGCCUCAGGAUGAACAUCAUGGUACUGCUCUUCAUUCUCUAUAAUUAAUAUACUUUUCACCGUCAACUUUGCAUUUGAAAGUAUUUAUUUUAUGGGAAACAGUGAAAAGUAGAUAAUUAGCACAUGUGCAAAUCUGUUUGGCAUUUGUGGGGUGUUUGCCCUGAAAACCUAUGGAUGAAGCCCAAAGACAGGAGCUGGGGGGUUUC
Molecule: long non-coding RNA, 5329 nt
Filed under: Homo sapiens (human)
Lineage: Eukaryota; Metazoa; Chordata; Mammalia; Primates; Hominidae
Description: non-protein coding CYTOR:119
Source: RNAcentral